GUAAAAUACGUUCCUAUUACCUGAAUCUUGCAAGGUAGGGCUAUCGUUUAUAUGGACAAGGGGGCAGAGUGAGUUGACAUGUUCCACAUGUAUAAGGUCCUAGAAUGACCCACAAAUAAUGAUGAAUACACUACAUUAAAACCUAAACCUUCCAGUUUGAAUGACUUAUGACUUUAUGUUUUCGUAGCUAAACAUUUACUUUACUCUUUUGUAGCAUUUUUGCUUCUGUAGAAGUCAAGCAUUUCAACUCCUCAAUCAUGAACAGCUUGACAGUCUUGCUUGUCACCAAAGAUGGAGACACGAAAACCUGUGAGAGUGAUGCAUCACUGAACAUUCUGCAAAACCAGCUGAACACCUGUGGAAUUAAAUAUCAGUGCAAAGUUGUUCCACAGUCACACAUUCAGUCCUGCAUUGCUGAUUGCUGGUGACUUCAGUUCAGUCAACAUGCGGUUAAUGCUGAAGCCUAUCCACUGCCUGUCCAAAAGCCUGCUGUGUUCAUCUCCUAAUACCCUCCAAAUAUAUGGUCUGGAGAAAAGUGUGCUGCUUUGACAUAGCAGUGAAGAACCCCAAUGAGAAAAAUGUGCUGCUUU
Long non-coding RNA from Clupea harengus (Atlantic herring), 590 nucleotides. RefSeq lists it as uncharacterized. The record is from RefSeq and is a predicted model, not a curated record. NCBI's taxonomy places the organism in Eukaryota, Metazoa, Chordata, Actinopteri, Clupeiformes, Clupeidae. The transcript is spliced from 3 exons.